GCCCUGGUGGUCUAGUGGUUAAGAUUCAGCACUUGCACUGCUGCAGCCCAGGUUCAUUUCCUGGUCAGGGAA
RNAcentral lists this transfer RNA (72 nucleotides) under Ceratotherium simum simum (southern white rhinoceros). Its description in RNAcentral is "tRNA-Ala (TGC) (tRNA-Ala-TGC-12-1)". It matches the Rfam family "tRNA". From Rfam's summary of the family: Transfer RNA (tRNA) molecules are approximately 80 nucleotides in length. The record is from RNAcentral. Lineage: Eukaryota; Metazoa; Chordata; Mammalia; Perissodactyla; Rhinocerotidae. RNAcentral also lists the same sequence under 1 other name.